GGAUCCCUACGGGAGGCAGCAGUGAGGAAUAUUGGUCAAUGGGAGAGAUCCUGAACCAGCCAAGCCGCGUGAGGGAAGACGGCCCUAUGGAUUGUAAACCUCUUUUGUCAGGGAGCAAAGGGCGCCACGUGUGGCGCUUUGCGAGUACCUGAAGAAAAAGCAUCGGCUAACUCCGUGCCAGCAGCCGCGGUAAUACGGAGGAUGCGAGCGUUAUCCGGAUUUAUUGGGUUUAAAGGGUGCGCAGGCGGAAUGUCAAGUCAGCGGUAAAAUUUCGGGGCUCAACCCCGUCGUGCCGUUGAAACUGG
This 305-nucleotide ribosomal RNA is filed under the name uncultured bacterium. Its description in RNAcentral is "bacterial SSU rRNA". It matches the Rfam family "Bacterial small subunit ribosomal RNA", at positions 333 to 636 of the family's 1533-position model. The record is from RNAcentral.